ACUCAAAUGAAUUGACGGGGGCCCGCACAAGCAGUGGAGCAUGUGGUUUAAUUCGAAGCAACGCGAAGAACCUUACCAGGGCUUGACAUCGGCUUGACCGGAACAGAGAUGUUCCUUCCCUUCGGGGCAAGCUAGACAGGUGGUGCAUGGUUGUCGUCAGCUCGUGUCGUGAGAUGUUGGGUUAAGUCCCGCAACGAGCGCAACCCUUGAUCUGUGUUGCCAGCAUGUAAUGGUGGGCACUCACAGGUGACUGCCGAGGACAACUCGGAGGAAGGCGGGGAUGACGUCAAAUCAUCAUGCCCCUUAUGUCCUGGGCUACACACGUGCUACAAUGGGCGGAACAAAGGGGAGCAAAGCCGCGAGGUGGAGCGAAUCCGAUAAAACCGUUCGUAGUUCGGAUUGCAGGCUGCAACUCGCCUGCAUGAAGCCGGAAUUGCUAGUAAUCGCGGAUCAGCAUGCCGCGGUGAAUCCGUUCCCGGGCCUUGCACACACCGCCCGU
Molecule: ribosomal RNA, 499 nt
Filed under: uncultured bacterium
Lineage: Bacteria
Description: partial 16S ribosomal RNA
Rfam family: Bacterial small subunit ribosomal RNA
Source: RNAcentral